UACUAGAGUAGCACUCGCAUAUCAAUAAGCGGAGGAAAAGAAACUAACAAGGAUUCCCCUAGUAACGGCGAGUGAAGCGGGAAGAGCUCAAAUUUGAAAUCUUAAAGGGUUUCCCUUUACGAAUUGUAGUUUAAAGAAGUGUUUUCUGUUGAGGUUUUGGUAAAAGUUCUUUGGAAUAGGACAUCAUAGAGGGUGAGAAUCCCGUAUUUGACCCUUACUUUCAACUUUGUGAUACACUUUCAAAGAGUCGGAUUGUUUGGGAAUGCAGUCCAAAAUGGGUGGUAAAUUUCAUCUAAAGCUAAAUAUUGGCGAGAGACCGAUAGCGAACAAGUACCGUGAGGGAAAGAUGAAAAGAACUUUGAAAAGAGAGUUAAACAGUACGUGAAAUUGUCAAAAGGGAAGCGUUUGACACCAGUGUUGUUUUUCCGAAAAUCAAUUACGAAUGUUUUAUUUUUGAGAAGUUAUGACUUCAUCGGCUUGCUUCUCUCUUUAUGAAACUUUCUUAAUGCACUUUUCGGUUAACAAGUCAACAUCAAUUUCUUUUGUUGUAAAAGGGUAUGAGGAAGGUGGCUUUCUUUUCGGAGAAAGUGUUUAUAGCCUUGUGCCUCUGCAAUCGGAGAGAUUGAGGUCUGCAGCGUAGAUCCUUCGGGGUUAGAUACAUUUGUGCUAAGUUGUAGCUUUUCAUAGACAACUUGUUGACUAUGUUUAGUCUUGUAGCUUACUCGCUGACGCUAUUUUACCUACGCUUAGGAUGUUGAUUCGCGCUCUCACUG
RNAcentral lists this ribosomal RNA (773 nucleotides) under uncultured Neocallimastigales. RNAcentral's name for it is "partial large subunit ribosomal RNA". It matches the Rfam family "Eukaryotic large subunit ribosomal RNA", at positions 20 to 634 of the family's 3401-position model. Lineage: Eukaryota; Fungi; Neocallimastigomycota; Neocallimastigomycetes; Neocallimastigales. The record is from RNAcentral.